GCAAGGGGAUGAUCUAAGCAUGCGAGUCAUUGUAGCAAUACAAGGCAGACGGCUCAGUAACGCGUAGUCAACCUAACCUAUGGACGGGAAUAAUCUCGGGAAACUGAGAAUAAUGCCCGAUAGAACACUAUAUCUGGAAUGGUUUGUGUUCCAAAUGAUUUAUCGCCAUAGGAUGGGACUGCGGCCUAUCAGUUUGUUGGUGAGGUAAUGGCCCACCAAGACUAUUACAGGUACGGGCUCUGAGAGGAGUAGCCCGGAGAUGGGUACUGAGACACGGACCCAGGCCCUAUGGGGCGCAGCAGGCGAGAAAACUUUGCAAUGUGCGAAAGCACGACAAGGUUAAUCCGAGUGGUUUCUGCUAAAGGAACCUUUUGUCGGUCCUAGAAACACCGAUGAAUAAGGGGUGGGCAAGUUCUGGUGUCAGCCGCCGCGGUAAAACCAGCACCUCAAGUGGUCAGGAUGAUUAUUGGGCCUAAAGCAUCCGUAGCCGGCUCUGUAAGUUUUCGGUUAAAUCUGUACGCUUAACGUACAGGCUGCCGGGAAUACUGCAUAGCUAGGGAGUGGGAGAGGUAGACGGUACUCGGUAGGAAGGGGUAAAAUCCUUUGAUCUAUUGAUGACCACCUGUGGCGAAGGCGGUCUACCAGAACACGUCCGACGGUGAGGGAUGAAAGCUGGGGGAGCAAACCGGAUUAGAUACCCGGGUAGUCCCAGCUGUAAACUAUGCAAACUCAGUGAUGCAUUGGCUUGUGGCCAAUGCAGUGCUGCAGGGAAGCCGUUAAGUUUGCCGCCUGGGAAGUACGUACGCAAGUAUGAAACUUAAAGGAAUUGGCGGGGGAGCACCACAAGGGGUGAAGCCUGCGGUUCAAUUGGAGUCAACGCCGGGAAUC
RNAcentral lists this ribosomal RNA (888 nucleotides) under uncultured archaeon. RNAcentral's name for it is "bacterial SSU rRNA". It matches the Rfam family "Archaeal small subunit ribosomal RNA", at positions 29 to 926 of the family's 1478-position model. The record is from RNAcentral.